This 90-nucleotide unclassified non-coding RNA is filed under the name Pseudomonas jessenii. Lineage: Bacteria; Pseudomonadati; Pseudomonadota; Gammaproteobacteria; Pseudomonadales; Pseudomonadaceae. The record is from RNAcentral.
UGUGGGAGCGAGCUUGCUCGCGAUGGCUGCGUCACAUUCAGCAUGGAUGUUGCCUGACCCACUGCUAUCGCGAGCAAGCUCGCUCCCACA